UCCUGCCCUAUGAUUAUUUAAAUGGCUGCAGUAUCCUGACUGUGCAAAGGUAGCAUAAUAAUUAGUCUUUUAAUUGAGGACUUGUAUGAAUGGAUUAAUGAGAAAUUUAUUUUAUUUUUAAUAUUAUUAGAAUUUUAUUUUUAGGUAAAAAAGCUUAAUUAAUUUUCUGGGACGAUAAGACCCUAUAGAACUUUAUUUCUUAUUUUAUUUAUUUUAUUUUAGAUUAGUUUUAAUUUAUUCUGAUUUGUUUAUUUUGUUGGGGCGGCAAAUAAAUUUUAACUUUAUUUUAUAAAUUCAUUAUUUUAUGUUAUUUUGAUCCAAUAUUUUGAUUAAAAGAUUUAGUUACCUUAGGGAUAACAGCGUAAUUUUAAUGGGGAGUUCUUAUUUAUAUUAAAGUUUGCGACCUCGAUGUUGAAUUAAGAUAAGAUUGAGGGGUAG
RNAcentral lists this ribosomal RNA (438 nucleotides) under Tortigonalia longicaudata. RNAcentral's name for it is "partial large subunit ribosomal RNA". Lineage: Eukaryota; Metazoa; Arthropoda; Insecta; Hemiptera; Cicadellidae. The record is from RNAcentral.